GAUGAACGCUGGCGGCGUGCCUAAUACAUGCAAGUCGAGCGACCGGACGAGAAGCUUUCCUCUCUGAUGUUAGCGGCGGACGGGUGUGUAACACGUGGAUAACCCACCUAUAAUACUGGGAUAACUUCGGGAAAACGGCGCUAAUAUCCGACAAUAUUUUGAACCGCAUGGUUCAAAAGUGAAAGACGGUCUUGCUGUCACUUAUAGAUUGCUCCGCGCUGCAUUAGCUAGUUGGUAAGGUAACGGCUUACCAAGGCAACGAUGCGUAGCCGACGUGAGAGGGUGAGCGGCCACACUAGAACGGAGACACGGUACAGACUCCUACGGGAGGCAGCGGUAGGGAAUCGUCCGCAAUGGGCGAAAGCCUGACGGAGCAACGCCACGUGAGGGAUGAAGGGCUUCGGAUCGUAAAACUCUGCUAUUAGGGAAGAACAUAUGUGUAAGUAACUGGGCACAUCUUGACGGUACCGAAUCAAAAAGCCACGGCUAACUACGUG
This 497-nucleotide ribosomal RNA is filed under the name uncultured bacterium. RNAcentral's name for it is "partial 16S ribosomal RNA". It matches the Rfam family "Bacterial small subunit ribosomal RNA", at positions 28 to 507 of the family's 1533-position model. The record is from RNAcentral.